GACGAACGCUGGCGGCGUGCUUAACACAUGCAAGUCGAACGAUGAACCCGGAGCUUGCUCCGGUGGAUUAGUGGCGAACGGGUGAGUAACACGUGAGUAACCUGCCCUUGACUCUGGAAUAACUGCGGGAAACUGUAGCUAAUACCGGAUACGACCCUCGGCGGCAUCGCCAGGGGGUGGAAAGAAUUUCGGUCAAGGAUGGACUCGCGGCCUAUCAGCUAGUUGGUGAGGUAACGGCUCACCAAGGCGACGACGGGUAGCCGGCCUGAGAGGGUGACCGGCCACACUGGGACUGAGACACGGCCCAGACUCCUACGGGAGGCAGCAGUGGGGAAUAUUGCACAAUGGGCGCAAGCCUGAUGCAGCAACGCCGCGUGAGGGAUGCCGGCCUUCGGGUUGUAAACCUCUUUCAGCACCGACGAAGCGCAAGUGACGGUAGGUGCAGAAGAAGGACCGGCCAACUACGUGCCAGCAGCCGCGGUAA
RNAcentral lists this ribosomal RNA (484 nucleotides) under uncultured bacterium. RNAcentral describes it as "partial 16S ribosomal RNA". It matches the Rfam family "Bacterial small subunit ribosomal RNA", at positions 28 to 523 of the family's 1533-position model. The record is from RNAcentral.